UACGUAGGGUGCUAGCGUUGUCCGGAUUUAUUGGGCGUAAAGGGCUCGUAGGCGGCGUUGUCGCGUCGGGAGUGAAAGCCCGCUGCUUAACGGCGGGUUGGCUUCCGGUACGGGCAUCGCUGGAGUGCGGCAGGGGAGACUGGAAUUCCUGGUGUAGCGGUGAAAUGCGCAGAUAUCAGGAGGAACACCGGUGGCGAAGGCGGGGUCUCUGGGGCCGAUACUGACGCUGGAGGAGCGAAAGCGUGGGGAGCGAACAGG
Molecule: ribosomal RNA, 258 nt
Filed under: uncultured bacterium
Lineage: Bacteria
Description: partial 16S ribosomal RNA
Rfam family: Bacterial small subunit ribosomal RNA
Source: RNAcentral